UGUUUUUUUGUAUUUUAUU
This 19-nucleotide small RNA is filed under the name Arabidopsis thaliana (thale cress). RNAcentral describes it as "ATSL015200". The record is from RNAcentral. Lineage: Eukaryota; Viridiplantae; Streptophyta; Magnoliopsida; Brassicales; Brassicaceae.